This 465-nucleotide ribosomal RNA is filed under the name uncultured bacterium. RNAcentral's name for it is "bacterial SSU rRNA". It matches the Rfam family "Bacterial small subunit ribosomal RNA", at positions 330 to 793 of the family's 1533-position model. The record is from RNAcentral.
CGUAGACUCCUACGGGAGGCAGCAGUGGGGGAAUAUUGCACAAUGGGCGAAAGCCUGAUGCAGCGACGCCGCGUGNGGGAACGACUGGCCUUCGGGUUGUAAACCUCUUUCAGUAGGGAACAAGGCAUCAUUUUGUGGUGUUGAGGGUACUUGCAGAAGAAGCACCGGCUAACUACGUGCCAGCAGCCGCGGUAAUACGUAGGGUGCAAGCGUUAUCCGGAAUUAUUGGGCGUAAAGAGCUCGUAGGCGGUUUGUCGCGUCUGUCGUGAAAGUCCGGGGCUCAACUCCGGAUCUGCGGUGGGUACGGGCAGACUAGAGUGAUGUAGGGGAGACUGGAAUUCCUGGUGUAGCGGUGGAAUGCGCAGAUAUCAGGAGGAACACCGAUGGCGAAGGCAGGUCUCUGGGCAUUAACUGACGCUGAGGAGCGAAAGCAUGGGGAGCGAACAGGAUUAGAUACCCUGGUAG